This 497-nucleotide ribosomal RNA is filed under the name uncultured bacterium. RNAcentral's name for it is "partial 16S ribosomal RNA". It matches the Rfam family "Bacterial small subunit ribosomal RNA", at positions 28 to 507 of the family's 1533-position model. The record is from RNAcentral.
GAUGAACGCUGGCGGCGUGCCUAAUACAUGCAAGUCGAGCGAACGGACGAGAAGCUUGCUUCUCUGAUGUUAGCGGCGGACGGGUGAGUAACACGUGGAUAACCUACCUAUAAGACUGGGAUAACUUCGGGAAACCGGAGCUAAUACCGGAUAAUAUUUUGAACCGCAUGGUUCAAAAGUGAAAGACGGUCUUGCUGUCACUUAUAGAUGGAUCCGCGCUGCAUUAGCUAGUUGGUAGGGUAACGGCUUACCAAGGCAACGAUGCAUAGCCGACCUGAGAGGGUGAUCGGCCACACUGGGACUGAGACACGGUCCAGACUCCUACGGGAGGCAGCAGUAGGGAAUCUUCCGCAAUGGGCGAAAGCCUGACGGAGCAACGCCGCGUGAGUGAUGAAGGUCUUCGGAUCGUAAAACUCUGUUAUUAGGGAAGAACAUAUGUGUAAGUAACUGUGCACAUCUUGACGGUACCUAAUCAGAAAGCCACGGCUAACUACGUG